This is a small nucleolar RNA of Erpetoichthys calabaricus (reedfish), 87 nucleotides long. The record is from Ensembl. NCBI's taxonomy places the organism in Eukaryota, Metazoa, Chordata, Cladistia, Polypteriformes, Polypteridae.
GAUGUUCAUGAUGAUGCUUUCAAGCUUGUUUCGAGUUUUACAACUUUGAGAAAAGAAAACAUAACAUGCACUACCAUCUGAAACAAA